RNAcentral lists this transfer RNA (69 nucleotides) under Ovis aries (sheep). It matches the Rfam family "tRNA". Rfam says of the family: Transfer RNA (tRNA) molecules are approximately 80 nucleotides in length. Their secondary structure includes four short double-helical elements and three loops (D, anti-codon, and T loops). Lineage: Eukaryota; Metazoa; Chordata; Mammalia; Artiodactyla; Bovidae. The record is from Rfam by way of RNAcentral.
CCUGGUGGCUCAGAGGGUAAAGCGUCUGCCUGAAAUGCAGGAGACCUGGGUUUGAUCCCUGGGCCAGGA